RNAcentral lists this small RNA (251 nucleotides) under Arabidopsis thaliana (thale cress). RNAcentral describes it as "ATSL081320". Lineage: Eukaryota; Viridiplantae; Streptophyta; Magnoliopsida; Brassicales; Brassicaceae. The record is from RNAcentral.
UGUAAUCUAAAAUCUUCAUAAAUUUUGGGUUAUUGGAUUCAUACUCUUAUAAAGUCAUUAAAAGUUUUGUGUUAUUCAAUUAAAACAAAAGAAUCUCUGAUUGUUAAUGAUUUCAAUUAUUAUGUUAUUGGUUCAUGACUUUCUACAUUUUCUUCACAAAAUAAAGUCAUGGAAAGUCAUGAAACGUAUUAUCAAAAUAGAGAGAUUGUUUGAGAAACUUUAUAAGAUUAUGAAAAACUAAUCAACAAGAU